GCAAGCCUGAUCCAGCCAUGCCGCGUGAGUGAAGAAGGCCUUCGGGUUGUAAAGCUCUUUCUGGUGGAAAGAAAACGCACUUUUUAACACAAGGUGUGGAUGACGGUACCAUCAAAACAAGC
This 122-nucleotide ribosomal RNA is filed under the name uncultured bacterium. RNAcentral describes it as "partial 16S ribosomal RNA". It matches the Rfam family "Bacterial small subunit ribosomal RNA", at positions 377 to 491 of the family's 1533-position model. The record is from RNAcentral.